GCAAGUCGAACGAACUCUUCGGAGUUAGUGGCGGACGGGUGAGUAACACGUGGGAACGUGCCUUUAGGUUCGGAAUAACUCAGGGAAACUUGUGCUAAUACCGAAUGUGCCCUUCGGGGGAAAGAUUUAUCGCCUUUAGAGCGGCCCGCGUCUGAUUAGCUAGUUGGUGAGGUAAUGGCUCACCAAGGCGACGAUCAGUAGCUGGUCUGAGAGGAUGAUCAGCCACAUUGGGACUGAGACACGGCCCAAACUCCUACGGGAGGCAGCAGUGGGGAAUCUUGCGCAAUGGGCGAAAGCCUGACGCAGCCAUGCCGCGUGAAUGAUGAAGGUCUUAGGAUUGUAAAAUUCUUUCACCGGGGACGAUAAUGACGGUACCCGGAGAAGAAGCCCCGGCUAACUUCGUGCCAGCAGCCGCGGUAAUACGAAGGGGGCUAGCGUUGCUCGGAAUUACUGGGCGUAAAGGGAGCGUAGGCGGACAUUUAAGUCAGGGGUGAAAUCCCGGGGCUCAACCUCGGAAUUGCCUUUGAUACUGGGUGUCUUGAGUAUGAGAGAGGUGUGUGGAACUCCGAGUGUAGAGGUGAAAUUCGUAGAUAUUCGGAAGAACACCAGUGGCGAAGGCGACACACUGGCUCAUUACUGACGCUGAGGCUCGAAAGCGUGGGGAGCAAACAGGAUUAGAUACCCUGGUAGUCCACGCCGUAAACGAUGAUUGCUAGUUGUCGGGAUGCAUGCAUUUCGGUGACGCAGCUAACGCAUUAAGCAAUCCGCCUGGGGAGUACGGUCGCAAGAUUAAAACUCAAAGGAAUUGACGGGGGCC
Molecule: ribosomal RNA, 817 nt
Filed under: Brevundimonas sp. M134_3
Lineage: Bacteria; Pseudomonadati; Pseudomonadota; Alphaproteobacteria; Caulobacterales; Caulobacteraceae
Description: bacterial SSU rRNA
Rfam family: Bacterial small subunit ribosomal RNA
Source: RNAcentral